AGCUGGGUGGCCCUGGGCUGGUUGUUGCUUCUCUCCAGGACAUAUAUGGCUCGGAGUAGGCCAGGGUCCUGGGUUUGCUGCUGUGGGAUCGGUUCACUCCCUCUCCUACCCAGAGGUGCCCGCUUGGGAGCUGUGGACUUUGGGGGCAGGAACACCCGCUCCCAGCACCUUCACAGUCAUCCCCUUUUUCUUCUGGGUCUCAAACUUGCUGCCUGUCCUGCACCCUGGCCUGUCCUCUGGAGGUUAUCUGAUGAGGGCCUACUUUGAGGCAUCUUCCCCUGGAUCUUACCUCACCCCUCCAGCUCCCACUUCACCAUGAUCCCAUGGAGACAUGAGUCCCAGGAGAGCUCUUUCUCUGGUCCCUCUCCUAGCAAGAAGUACCUGUGGGCACACCUGGAGCAUAGGCCUUGAUGUUUGCAGUGCUCUGGGCAAAAGGACAAAUGGAGGUCCACAGACCAGAAUCUAAAUAUUAAAUAACCAUAAAUCAAGCUGCUAAUAAAAUGUGUUCUAUCCUCCUACUGAACAAAUAAACUUUCAUAGCAGUAAAAACAUCCAUAAAUCUAUGGUUUUUUUAAUGUCUGAAAGUCAGCAUAUACCCAAAAUGAUGAAAUGUAAUGAUUAUCACUUAUGUCCAGGUGUUCAGUGACCUGAGGUUUAAGUGAGAAUAGAGGCUUGCCUGGUUCCUGAGGUAUUCUGUAUUUAUUCUGUAACAUCAAUUCUCCUUGUCUUUGUCCUAGUAAAAUGAUUAUGUUGUUGCAGUUAAGACUUCUACACUGUUACUGUUCUUUUGGUAGUAAUAAUUUAAAAGAUUAAAAUAAGGCUGGGCAAGGUGGCUCACACAUCCCAGCGCUUUGAGAGGCCAAGGUGACAGGAUUGCUUGAGGCCAGGAGUUCAACUUUACAGUGAGCUAUGACUAUGCUACUAUACUCCAGACUGGGCAACAGAGAAAGACCCUGUCUUUAAAAAAUAACAAUAAUAAUAAGUUUUUAAAAGACUAGAAUAAAAUAUUGGCCAGACAUGGUGGCUCAUGCCUAUAAUCCCUGCACUUUGGGAGGCCAAGGUGGCUGGAUCAUCUGAGGUCAGGAGUUUGAGACCAGCCUGGCCAACAUGGUGAAACCCUGUCUCUACUAAAAAUACAAAAAAUUAGCUGGGUGUAGUGGUGGUCUCCUGUAAUCCCAGCUACUUGGGAGGCUGAGGCAGGAGAAUUGCUUGAACCUGGGAGGCAGAAGUUGCAGUGAGCUGAGAUCACACCAUUGCACUCCAGCCUGGGUGACAAGAGUGAAAAUUGGUCUCAAAAAAAUAAAUAAAAUAUUAUAUUCA
Molecule: long non-coding RNA, 1320 nt
Organism: Callithrix jacchus (white-tufted-ear marmoset)
Lineage: Eukaryota; Metazoa; Chordata; Mammalia; Primates; Cebidae
Source: RefSeq, a predicted model, not a curated record